RNAcentral lists this ribosomal RNA (776 nucleotides) under uncultured Neocallimastigales. Its description in RNAcentral is "partial large subunit ribosomal RNA". It matches the Rfam family "Eukaryotic large subunit ribosomal RNA", at positions 22 to 647 of the family's 3401-position model. Lineage: Eukaryota; Fungi; Neocallimastigomycota; Neocallimastigomycetes; Neocallimastigales. The record is from RNAcentral.
GUACACGCUGUGACUAGCAUAUCAAUAAGCGGAGGAAAAGAAACUAACAAGGAUUCCCCUAGUAACGGCGAGUGAAGCGGGAAGAGCUCAAAUUUGAAAUCUUAAAGGGUUUCCCUUUACGAAUUGUAGUUUAAAGAAGUGUUUUCUGUUGAGGUUUUGGUAAAAGUUCUUUGGAAUAGGACAUCAUAGAGGGUGAGAAUCCCGUAUUUGACCUUUACUUUCAACUUUGUGAUACACUUUCAAAGAGUCGGAUUGUUUGGGAAUGCAGUCCAAAAUGGGUGGUAAAUUUCAUCUAAAGCUAAAUAUUGGCGAGAGACCGAUAGCGAACAAGUACCGUGAGGGAAAGACGAAAAGAACUUUGAAAAGAGAGUUAAACAGUACGUGAAAUUGUCAAAAGGGAAGCGUUUGACACCAGUGUUGUUUUUCUGAAAAUCAAUUAAAGAACUGUUUAUGCUAAGCUGUUUAGACUUUAUCAGCUAUCUGUUUAGUUUUCGAGCUUUUCUUUAAUGCACUUUUCAGUUAACAAGUCAACAUCAAUUUCUUUUGCUGUAAAAAAGCUUGAGGAAGGUGGCUUGAGAUUCGUCUUAAGUGUUUAUAGCCUCUUGCCUAUGCAGUCGGAGAGAUUGAGGUCUGCAGCGUAGAUCCUUCGGGACUAAAUGCAUUUGUGCUAAGUUAUAGCAGUUUCAUAGACAACUUGUUGACUAUGAUUUGUCUUGUAGCUUACUCGCUUAUGUUAUUUUACCUACGCUUAGGAUGUUGACGAGACUGUCGAUCUC